Molecule: ribosomal RNA, 499 nt
Filed under: uncultured bacterium
Lineage: Bacteria
Description: bacterial SSU rRNA
Rfam family: Bacterial small subunit ribosomal RNA
Source: RNAcentral
AGUUUGAUCAUGGCUCAGAUUGAACGCUGGCGGCAUGCCUUACACAUGCAAGUCGAACGGUAACGGGCCUUCGGGUGCCGACGAGUGGCGAACGGGUGAGUAAUGCAUCGGAACGUACCUUUCAGUGGGGAUAACGUAGCGAAAGUUACGCUAAUACCGCAUAUUCUGUGAGCAGGAAAGCAGGGGAUCGCAAGACCUUGCGCUGAUUGAGCGGCCGAUGUCAGAUUAGCUAGUUGGUGAGGUAAAGGCUCACCAAGGCGACGAUCUGCAGCGGGUCUGAGAGGAUGAUCCGCCACACUGGAACUGAGACACGGUCCAGACUCCUACGGGAGGCAGCAGUGGGGAAUUUUGGACAAUGGGGGCAACCCUGAUCCAGCCAUGCCGCGUGAGUGAAGAAGGCCUUCGGGUUGUAAAGCUCUUUCGGCCGGGAAGAAAUCGCAUGGGUUAAUACCCUGUGCGGAUGACGGUACCGGCAUAAGAAGCACCGGCUAACUACGUG